GAAGGGGGCUAGCGUUGUUCGGAAUUACUGGGCGUAAAGGGCGCGUAGGCGGCCUGUUUAGUCAGAAGUGAAAGCCCCGGGCUCAACCUGGGAAUAGCUUCUGAUACUGGCAGGCUUGAGUUCCGGAGAGGAUGGUGGAAUUCCCAGUGUAGAGGUGAAAUUCGUAGAUAUUGGGAAGAACACCGGUGGCGAAGGCGGCCAUCUGGACGGACACUGACGCUGAGGCGCGAAAGCGUGGGGAGCAAACAGAAUUAGAUACCCUGGUAGUCCACGCCGUAAACGAUGAAUGCUAGACGUCGGGGUGCAUGCACUUCGGUGUCGCCGCUAACGCAUUAAGCAUUCCGCCUGGGGAGUACGGCCGCAAGGCUA
This 369-nucleotide ribosomal RNA is filed under the name uncultured bacterium. RNAcentral describes it as "bacterial SSU rRNA". It matches the Rfam family "Bacterial small subunit ribosomal RNA", at positions 527 to 896 of the family's 1533-position model. The record is from RNAcentral.